UAACUGAUCCUCCUUUUUUCUUUUCUUUCUGCACAUAACAUUUCCCUCCACCUUAUUCAUGUACAGAAAAGAUUCUUAUGAAGCCAAAAGUUUGCUAAUGAAAAUAAGCAAAAAGAUUGAGAUCAUUGACAUUUUGCCUUCUUCUAAAUACAAUCACUUCAAUAAAGCUCAAUGCCAAGUCGAGAUAAACCAAACUCGUGCUCCUUCCGAAAGAGAUGAAACCGUAUCGUUUCAAAUGUCGAGUUCUUUAUCUUCUUGGAUGCUCCCUUUCAUGGUUCUCGAUACCAACUUCGCGUCUUUUCACCGACUGUGCCAACACUUCUUGAUUUCGCACCGAUUGCAUGGAGCCCUUGUCAUGAACUAGUUGCAUAACAUCUGCCAAAAGAAUAAAAGAACCAAUCAUAAACAAAUUGCGACCACGAAAUAGUACAUUCUCUCUCUUUCAACAUACCUUUUCUUGUUCGGUACACGGUCUUCGCUUGCUAUGAAAUAUAGAAAUCUAGGAUGAGAAGUCCAAAACACGUGAUCUGUUGCGAGAGAGAAAGUCGACUGACAGCCUCGGACUUUCGAUAACUGGAGUAGGCAGUGUGUUUGUAACUCAAUCCCACAAAAUCCGCAAAGACAACCCGACAGACGAACGUUGUAAGUGAAUCUAGUGUGGACUUCUACACGUUCCGGUCCAAACAGUCGU
Molecule: long non-coding RNA, 691 nt
Filed under: Linum usitatissimum (flax)
Lineage: Eukaryota; Viridiplantae; Streptophyta; Magnoliopsida; Malpighiales; Linaceae
Description: long non-coding RNA (LUSI_LNC008255)
Source: RNAcentral